AGACGCUUAGGAUAAAUAAUAAACCAGUGGCCUUCAACGCCACAAAUAAGGAUAAACCCUUAGCUUCUG
This 69-nucleotide transfer RNA is filed under the name Phrynocephalus arabicus (Arabian toadhead agama). RNAcentral describes it as "tRNA-Trp". Lineage: Eukaryota; Metazoa; Chordata; Lepidosauria; Squamata; Agamidae. The record is from RNAcentral.